This 490-nucleotide ribosomal RNA is filed under the name uncultured bacterium. Its description in RNAcentral is "partial 16S ribosomal RNA". It matches the Rfam family "Bacterial small subunit ribosomal RNA", at positions 30 to 507 of the family's 1533-position model. The record is from RNAcentral.
AGUGAACGCUGGCGGUAGGCCUAAUACAUGCAAGUCGAACGGCAGCACAGGAGAGCUUGCUCUCUGGGGGGCGAGGGGCGGAGGGGAGAGGAAUAUAGCGAAAUCUGCUCAGAGGCGGGGGUAAACGCAGGGAAACGGAGGCUAUAACCGCAAACAACCUGCAGGGGAAGGAGGAGGAGCGCAAGACCGCUCGCGAGUGAAUGAGCCGUGGUCGCAUUAGCUAGUUGGCGGGGUAAUGGCCCACCAAGGCGACGAUCCGUAGCUGGUCUGAGAGGAUGAUCAGCCACACUGGAACUGAGACACGGUCCAGACUCCUACGGGAGGCAGCAGUGGGGAAUAUUCGACAAUGGGCGCAAGCCUGAUCCAGCCAUGCCGCGUGGGUGAAGAAGGUCUUCGGGUUGUAAAGCCCUUUUGUUGGGAAAGAACUCUUUCAGGCUAAUCCCCUGGGAGCUUGACGGUACCCAAAGAAUAAGCACCGGCUAACUUCGUG